CUGUCAGCAGGGUAAGAGUUUGACACUGAGCCCCAACAUGCGUUUUGCCGGUAAAUGGCUCUUUAAGGGGGAACCCACGUCCCUAGCUUUUGAGUUUAAAUGAUGCGCCCUUUGGUCUGAUUGGUCUAUCGGAAAACUGAUGACGUCAUGUAAAAGCGUUCAUUACGAGAACGGAGAUAGUGAUAUGCAUUUCAUUCGUGAUCUAAUCAUGGAAGAAAUAUUGAUUGCAAUAGUAUAUGGACCAAAAUCAAUCUGUUUUAAAAUUAUUACAGUGUUGUGUCCAAUAUGUCUAAUAGGUUUAGC
Non-coding RNA from Pelobates cultripes (western spadefoot toad), 303 nucleotides. The record is from the annotation of a GenBank genome assembly. Lineage: Eukaryota; Metazoa; Chordata; Amphibia; Anura; Pelobatidae.